GACGAACCGUGCGAACGUUAUUCGGAAUCACUGGGCUUAAAGCGCGUGUAGGCGGGCCGCCACGUCGAGGGCUGAAAUCCCCCGGCUCAACCGGGGAACGGGCAUCGAUACGAGCGGCCUGGAGGGAGGUAGGGGGGGCUGGAACUUCCGGUGGAGCGGUGAAAUGCGUUGAGAUCGGAAGGAACGCCCGUGGCGAAAGCGAGCCCCUGGACCUUUACUGACGCUGAGACGCGAAAGCUAGGGGAGCGAACGG
Molecule: ribosomal RNA, 253 nt
Filed under: uncultured bacterium
Lineage: Bacteria
Description: partial 16S ribosomal RNA
Rfam family: Bacterial small subunit ribosomal RNA
Source: RNAcentral